RNAcentral lists this ribosomal RNA (465 nucleotides) under Vreelandella stevensii. RNAcentral describes it as "partial 16S ribosomal RNA". It matches the Rfam family "Bacterial small subunit ribosomal RNA", at positions 338 to 795 of the family's 1533-position model. Lineage: Bacteria; Pseudomonadati; Pseudomonadota; Gammaproteobacteria; Oceanospirillales; Halomonadaceae. The record is from RNAcentral.
CCUACGGGCGGCAGCAGUGGGGAAUAUUGGACAAUGGGCGAAAGCCUGAUCCAGCCAUGCCGCGUGUGUGAAGAAGGCCUUCGGGUUGUAAAGCACUUUCAGUGGGGAAGAAAGCCUUGGGGCUAAUACCCUCGAGGAAGGACAUCACCCACAGAAGAAGCACCGGCUAACUCCGUGCCAGCAGCCGCGGUAAUACGGAGGGUGCGAGCGUUAAUCGGAAUUACUGGGCGUAAAGCGCGCGUAGGCGGUCUGAUAAGCCGGUUGUGAAAGCCCCGGGCUCAACCUGGGAACGGCAUCCGGAACUGACAGGCUAGAGUGCAGGAGAGGAAGGUAGAAUUCCCGGUGUAGCGGUGAAAUGCGUAGAGAUGGGGAGGAAUACCGAUGGCGAAGGCGACCUUCUGGGCUGGCACUGACGCUGAGGUGCGAAAGCGUGGGUAGCAAACAGGAUUAGAUACCCGAGUAGUC